UACGGAGGGUGCAAGCGUUAAUCGGAAUUACUGGGCGUAAAGCGCACGCAGGCCGUCUGUCUAGUCGGAUGUGAAAUCCCCGGGCUCAACGUGGGAACUGCAUUCGAAACUGGCAGGUUAGAGUCUUGUAGAGGGGGGUAGUAUUCCAGGUGUAGCGGUGAAAUGCGUAGAGAUCUGGAGGAAUACCGGUGGCGAAGGCGGCCCCCUGGACAAAGACUGACGCUCAGGUGCGAAAGCGUGGGGAGCAAACAGGAUUAGAUCCCCUGGUAGUCCCCGCUGUAAACGAUGUCGAUUUGGAGGGUGUGCCCUUGAGGCGUGGCUUCCGGAGCUAACGCGUUAAAUCGACCGCCUGGGGAGUACGGCCGCAAGGUUAAAACUCAAAUGAAUUGGCGGGGGCCCGCACAAGCGGUGGAGCAUGUGGUUUAUUUCGAUGCAACGCGAAGAACCUUCCCUGGUCUUGACAUCCACAGAACUUUCCAGAGAUGGAUUGGUCCCUUCGGGAACUGUGACACAGGUGCUGCAUGGCUGUUGUCAUCUCGUGUUGUGAAAUGUUGGGUUAAGUCCCGCAACGAGCGCACCCCUUAUCCUUUUUUCCCAGCGGUUAGGCCGGGAAUUCAAAGGAGACUGCCAGUGAUAAACUGGAGGAAGGUGGGGAUGACGUCAAGUCAUCAUGGCCCUUACGACCAGGGCUACACACGUGCUACAAUGGCAUAUCCAAAGAGAAGCGACCUCGCGAGAGCAAGCGGACCUCAUAAAGUAUGUUGUAGUCCGGAUUGGAGUUUGCAACUCGACUCCAUGAAGUCGGAAUCGUUAGUAAUCGUAGAUCAGAAUGCUACGGUGAAUACGUUCCCGGGCCUUGUACACACCGCCCGUCACACCAUGGGAGUGGGUUGCAAAAGAAGUAGGUAGCUUAACCUCGGGAGGGCGCUACCACGUUGAUCA
RNAcentral lists this ribosomal RNA (942 nucleotides) under Klebsiella sp. RNAcentral describes it as "bacterial SSU rRNA". It matches the Rfam family "Bacterial small subunit ribosomal RNA", at positions 524 to 1468 of the family's 1533-position model. The record is from RNAcentral. Lineage: Bacteria; Pseudomonadati; Pseudomonadota; Gammaproteobacteria; Enterobacterales; Enterobacteriaceae.